Molecule: long non-coding RNA, 1443 nt
Organism: Bos taurus (domestic cattle)
Lineage: Eukaryota; Metazoa; Chordata; Mammalia; Artiodactyla; Bovidae
Source: Ensembl
CCCAGGGGGAGGGUCCGCUAGGGGGAGGGUCCCUGCGUGAAGAUGGUCUCCUAAAGCAAGGGUCCCCCAGGGGAGGGUCCUCUAGAGGGAGGGUCUCCUGCUGAUUCUGAGCCAAAGCGAGGUGGGCGCGGUCGGCGGAGCUCCGCCGCAUGUGUGUGUCCUGAAGCAAACCACCCUCGCUCUGCCUGCCAGCCGAGUCCAGUCCACACUUAACCUCUUCCUUUCGUCCAGGAACACAUGCCCAUCCAUGACCUUCCUUGCAAAUGGCAGCGCGUGCCCAUCUUGCUGUCCGGUGGCUCAGUCGUGUCUGACUCUCUGCACCCCCUUGGAAGGCAGCACGCCAGGCUUCCCUGUUCUUCAGUGGCUCGGGCAACUUCUUGACGUCAGGACGCUCAAAAAAGUGCCCCGAGCCUCUUUUGCUGUGAUUGAUUUUGCAGUUCAGAGGAACCUUUAUGGAAACUUGCUUGGAAAUUGGAAAGCCAAGCCAGUAUGCUGGAAGUUGCAGCAGAAGCAUUGACAUCACUGCUACUCCGAAAGGUCUGGAGACACCUCUGGGAAAUUUUUUAUUCCAGAAUCAUCCUGACCUUCUUUACAGGUUCUGAGAGUCAGGAAUUUAAUCAAGGUGCAGCCAGGAAAGGACUGGGGACUGGAAUCAUCUGGAAUAUCCUCAUCGAUGUCUGGUACCUGCGUUGGGAUUACUUGCAGGCUGGGCUGGAUUGCAGCUGUUCCCCAGACUGCAUUCAUGCAGUUCCUCCAUAUGACUUGGGCUUCCACACGACAUGGCAGCUGAGUCUGAGAGUGAGUGUCUGGAAACUGUAUGACCUCGCAUGACCUAGCCUUGGAAGGAAUGCACCAUCACUCCAUCUAUCUGUUGAGACUGGCCCAUAUUCAAGAAGAGGGAGAAUUAGAUGCUAUCUCUUGACUGGGCUGGAGGUAGCGCGGAGGCCAAGUCACCUUACAGGAGGGCAGGCAAGUUGCGAAAUACUGUUGUAGCCAUCUUGGAAAAUACAGUCUCCCAGAGACAAUCCCUGUGGACUCAGGGAAAUAUUGGGUUGGCCAAAAAGUUUGUUCAGGUUUACCCUACCAUCUUACAGGAAAACCCCAAAGAACUUUCUGGCCAGCCCAGUACUUGGAAGAAGAGUAUUUUGCAGGGUCCAGGAGCCCUGCCUUAGAAACCCAGGGUUCAGAUUAGAAACACACAGCCCUCCAUGUCAGCCACUCCUUCUACUGCUAAGUAUUAUGUGUCCACCCCCCAAAGUCAUGUGGAAAGCCUAAUGCCCAAUGCCUUAGAAUGGGGCCAUACGUGGAGAGCAGCUUUCAAAGAGGCGAUGUAAGCUACCAUGGGGUCAACAGGGCAGGCUCUAAUCCAUUCUGACUGGUGUGUUUGAAAGAAGCGGAAAUUUGGGCACACAGGAACACCAGGAUGCCCACACAGAGGAAGAC